UACAGAGGGGGCGAGCGUUGUUCGGAAUUACUGGGCGUAAAGGGCGCGUAGGCGGCCCGCUAAGUCGAACGUGAAAUCCCCAGGCUCAACUUGGGAACUGCGUCCGAUACUGGCAGGCUUGAAUCCGGGAGAGGGAUGUGGAAUUCCAGGUGUAGCGGUGAAAUGCGUAGAUAUCUGGAGGAACACCGGUGGCGAAGGCGGCAUCCUGGACCGGUAUUGACGCUGAGGCGCGAAAGCUAGGGGAGCAAACGGG
This 253-nucleotide ribosomal RNA is filed under the name uncultured bacterium. Its description in RNAcentral is "partial 16S ribosomal RNA". It matches the Rfam family "Bacterial small subunit ribosomal RNA", at positions 524 to 776 of the family's 1533-position model. The record is from RNAcentral.